RNA transcript from Capra hircus (goat), 1236 nucleotides. It is a transcript of the gene named E3 ubiquitin-protein ligase RNF146-B pseudogene, with no coding region annotated. Lineage: Eukaryota; Metazoa; Chordata; Mammalia; Artiodactyla; Bovidae. The transcript has a single exon. The record is from RefSeq and is a predicted model, not a curated record.
CGAAGAGAAAAGACGGCGAGGCGGCCUCGGCUGUGGCCACAGAGCACAGGAUGAUCCAGCAAUGGAGGAGAAAAUUCUGCAAACUGGCUGAUUACUCAUGAAGAUGAGAUUUUAUUUUUGUGGCAGGCAUCUGUGGGGUCUGUAAUAGAAAUGAUGGCUGGCUGUGGAGAAAUUGAUCACUCUAUAAACAUGCUUCCUACGAACAGGAAAGCAAAUGAGUCCUGUUCUAAUACUGCACCUUCUCUAACUGUCCCUGAAUGUGCCAUUUGUCUGCAAACAUGUGUUCACCCAGUCACUCUGCCUUGUAAGCAUGUUUUCUGCUAUCUAUGUGUGAAGGGAGCUUCAUGGCUUGGAAAGCAAUGUGCCCUCUGUCGACAAGAAAUUCCCGAAGAUUUCCUUGAUAAGCCAACGUUGUUGUCACCAGGAGAACUCAAGGCAGCAAGUAGAGGAAAUGGUGAAUAUGCUUGGUAUUAUGAAGGAAGAAAUGGGUGGUGGCAGUAUGACGAGCGCACUAGCAGAGAGCUGGAAGAUGCUUUUUCCAAAGGUUAAAAAGAGCACUGAAAUGUUGAUUGCCGGGUUUCUGUAUGUUGCCGAUCUUGAAAAUAUGGUACAGUAUAGGAGAAACGAACAUGGACGUCGCAGGAAGAUCAAGCGGAAUAUAAUAGAUAUACCAAAGAAAGGAGUAGCCGGACUUAGGCUGGACUGUGAUGCUAAUACCGUAAACCUAGCGAGAGAAAGCUCUGCUGACGGAGCGGAAAGUGUACCGGCUCAGAGUGGAGCUUCUGUUCAGUCGUCGUCUGUGAGGCCCCUGACGUCAGUAGAUGGUCAGCUAACAAGCCCCGCCACGCCAUCCCCUGAUGCAAGCGCUUCUCUGGAAGACUCUUUUGCACAUUUACAACUUGGUGGAGACAGCAUAGCGGAAAGGAGUCAUAGAGGGGAAGGAGAAGAAGAGCAUGAAUCACCAUCUUCAGGCAGGGUACCAGCACCAGACACUUCGAUUGAAGAAACCGAAUCCGAUGCCAGUAGUGACAGUGAGGAUGUAUCUGCGCUUGUUGCAAAACACUCCUUGACCCAACAGAGACUUUUGGUUCCUAAUCCAAAUCAGACAGCAUCUGAUCGAUCGGGAACUGAUCGAUCAGUGGCAGCGGGUGGAACAGUGAGUGUCAGAUCUCGAAGGCCUGAUGGACAGUGCACAGUAACGGAAGUUUAAAUAAAAGUUUUCACAUCCAUGCUCAA